UCUAUAAUGGCAGAAUAAUGUGUUGGAUUUAAGCCCCAUUUAUAAAGAUUUUUUAUCUUUUUAUAGAA
Molecule: transfer RNA, 68 nt
Filed under: Megabeleses liriodendrovorax
Lineage: Eukaryota; Metazoa; Arthropoda; Insecta; Hymenoptera; Tenthredinidae
Description: tRNA-Leu
Source: RNAcentral